Long non-coding RNA from Gallus gallus (chicken), 2415 nucleotides. The record is from Ensembl. NCBI's taxonomy places the organism in Eukaryota, Metazoa, Chordata, Aves, Galliformes, Phasianidae.
CCCAUAAGCAUUGCACAGAUCCUUUAGGGCUCCCCCAGAUCCUAUAGGGCUCCCCCUGACCCUAUAGGCACCGCCCAACCCCGUAAGCCUCGCCCAGAUCCUAUAGGUACCCACAGAUCCUAUAGGCACCGCCCAACCCCAUAGGCAUUGCCCAGAUCCUAUAGGGCACCUCCAGAUCCUAUAGGGCUCCCCCUGCCCCUAUAGGCACUGCCCAGAUCCUAUAGGUACCCCCAGAUCCUAUAGGCACCGCCCAACCCCAUAAGCAUCGCACAGAUCCUUUAGGGCUCCCCCAGAUCCCAUAGGGCUCCCCCAGAUCCUAAAGGGCUCCCCCAGAUCCUAUAGGGCUCCCCUUGCCCCUAUACACACCUUCCAAACCCCAUAGGCAUUGCCCAGAUCCUAUAGGCACCCCCUGAUCCUAUAGGACUCCGCCUGCCCCUAUAGGCACCACACAGAUCCUAUUGGUACCCCCAGAUCCUAUAGAUACCAACCAACCCCAUAGGGAUUGCCCAGAUCCUAUAGGUACCCCCUGAUCCUAUAGGGCUCCCUGUGCCGCUAUAGGCACUGCCCAGAUCCUAUAGGUACCCGAGAUCCUAUAGGCACCGCCCAACCCCAUAAGCAUCCCACAGAUCCUAUAGGGCACCCCUAGAUCCUAUGGGGCUCCCCCUGCCCCUAUAGGCACGGCCCAACCCCAUAAACAUUGCCCAAAUCCUAUAGGCACCCCCAGAUCCUAUAGGCACCGCCCAACCCCAUAAGCAUCGCACAGAUCCUUUAGGGCUCCCCCAGAUCCCAUAGGGCUCCCCUUGCCCCUAUAGGCACCAUCCAACCCCAUAGGCAUUGCUCAGAUCCUACAGGUACCCCCAGAUCCUAUAGGGCUCCCCCUGUCCCUAUAGGCACCGCCCAACCCCAUAAGCAUCCCACAGAUCCCGUAGGGCUCCCCCAGAUCCUAUAGGGCACCCCCUGCCCCUAUAGGCACCACCCAGAUCCUAUAGGCACCCCCAGAUCCUAUAGGCACCGCCCAACCCCAUAAGCAUCCCACAGAUCCUAUAGGGCACCCUUGAUCCUAUAGGGUUCCCCCUGCCCCUAUAGGCACCAUCCAACCCCAUAGGCAUUGCCCAGAUCCUACAGGUACCCCCAGAUCCUAUAGGGUAUCUCUUGCCCCUAUAGGCACCUCCCCACCCCCCCAUAGAUUUUCUAUAGAUACCCCAUAUCCACCCCAUAUCCCUAUAGAUCCCCUAUAGCCACCCCACACCCCACAUAGAUCCCCUCCGGCCACCCCACACCCCCUUUAGAUACCCUAUAGAUCCCCUAUAACCACCCCACACCCCUUUUGAUACCCUACAGAUCCCCUAUAACUGCCCCAAACCCUUUUAAACACCCCAUAGAUCCCCUAUAACCACCCCACCCCCCUUCAGAUACCCUAUAGAUGCCAUAUAACCACCCCAAUCCCCUUUAAAUACUCUACAGAUCCCCUAUAACCACCCCAAUCCCCUUCAGACACCCCAUAGAUCCCCUAUAACCACCCCAAUCCCCUUCAGACACCCUAUAGAUCCCCUAUAACCACCCCACCCCCCUUCAGACACCCUAUAGAUACCCUAUAACCACCCCAACCCCCUUUAGAUACCCUACAAAUCCCCUAUAACCACCUCAAUCCCUUUCAGACACCCUAUAGCUCCCCUAUAACCACCCCACUCCCCUUCAGAUACCCUAUAGAUCCCCUAUAACCACCCCACACCCCUUCAGACCCCCUAUUACCACCCCAACCCCCUUCAGAUACCCUAUAGAUGCCCUAUAACCACCCCAAUUCCCUUUAGACACCCUAUAGAUCCCCUAUAAACCCCCCUUUAGAUACCCUAUAGACCCCCUACAACCACCCCACCCCCCCUUCAGACACCCUAUAGAUCCCCUAUAACCACCCCACCCCCCUUCAGAUACCCUAUAGAUGCCCUAUAGCCACCCCAACCCCCUUCAGAUACCCUAUAGAUACCCUAAAACCACCCCACCCCCCUUCAGAUCCCCUAUAACCACCCCACCCCCCUUCAGAUACCCUAUAGAUCCCCCUAUAACUGCCCCACCCCCCCUUCCAAUACCCUAUAGAUGCCCUAUAGCCACCCCACCCCCCUUCAGAUACCCUAUUACCACCCCACUCCCUUUUAGACACCGUAUAGAUCCCCUAUAACCCCCCCUUUAGAUACCCUAUAGACCCCCUAUAACCACCCCACCCCCCUUCAGAUCCCCUAUAGUUGCCCUAUAACCACCCCAGUCCCUUUUAGACACCCCAUAGAUCCCCUAUAACCACCCCAAUCCCUUUUAGACACCCUAUAGAUCCCCUAUAACCACACCACCCCCUUCAGAUACCCUAUAGAUGCCCUAUAACGGCCCCAAUCCCUUUUAGACACCCCGUAGAUCCCCUAUAAC